UGAUAUUUAUUUUAUUAUUUUUAUUUUUUGUUAUUAUUUAUUUUUAAUAGAAAUAAUUUUAUUGAUUUUUGUCUUAGUAUAUUUUAUAGAAUAGAUUUUUUAAAUUAUAGUUUAUUAGUAAUGUAAUUGGAUUAUGAAAUAUUUAUUUAAAUUUAUUAAAGUAAAUUUAAUUUAUUGUACCUUUUGUAUCAGGGUUUAUCAAAAUUUUAGUAAACAUUUACUAUUCUCGAUUUAGGUUGAUUUACAAAUAAAUUAUAGUUAAUGUUUCAUAAUUAUUAUUAAUUUAUUUGUAGAAAUGAAAUGUUAUUCGUUUCCUAAUAUAUCUAGUUUCUUAAGAAAAAAUUUAAUUUUUUAUGUUUAUGUGUUUUAUUUAAUUUUUAAAUUAAAAAUACUAAAUAAUUUAUUCUUUAGGGGAUAAGCUCUGAAGUUUGUUCUAUAAAUUUUGUAAUUUAAAUAUAAUAAUAAGCUUUAAACCAGCUAUUUUUAAGAUUACGUUUUAGUUCAUUAUUUUUAUAUUUGAUUUUAUAAUUAUUUUAGAUUUUUUAUUAAGAUGUUGAAUUUAAUUUUUAAAUUUUUGUAAUAAUGAUGGAAUUAGUAUAAUUAUUUUGUUUAUAAUAUUUUUAGUUGAUAAUUUAUUAUAAGGAACUAGGCAAAUUGAUUUCCGCCUGUUUAUCAAAAACAUGUCCUCUUGAUAAUAUUUUGAGGUCUGGCCUGCUCACUGAAUUUUUUAAGAGCCGCGGUAUUUUGACCGUGCAAAGGUAGCAUAAUCAUUAGUCUCUUAAUUGGAGGCUGGAAUGAAUGGCUUGACGAGAAAUCGACUGUCUCUUAAUAAUUUUUAAAAUUUAACUUUUGAGUCAAAAGGCUUAAAUUUUUCUUUAGGACGAGAAGACCCUAUAGAGCUUGACAUUCUACUUUUAUAUAAUUUUAAGAUAGUCUUUUUAUAUAAAAUGACAAUGUUUUGUUGGGGUGACAUGAAGAAUUAACAAACUCUUCAUUAUAAAAUCAUUAAUUUAUGUUUAUUUUGAUCCAUAAUUUAUGAUCAUAAGAUUAAGUUACCUUAGGGAUAACAGCGUAAUUGUUUUUGAGAGCUCAUAUCGACAAAGCAGAUUGCGACCUCGAUGUUGGAUUAAGAAAAGUUCUGGGUGCAGCAGCCCAGUAAUUAGGUCUGUUCGACCUUUAAAUUCUUACAUGAUCUGAGUUCAGACCGGCGUGAGCCAGGUCGGUUUCUAUCCUAAGAUUAGAAAUUCAUAUUAGUACGAAAGGACCAUAUGGAUAAAACAUUUUUUAGUUUAAUGAUUAAAAUUAAUUGUU
RNAcentral lists this ribosomal RNA (1311 nucleotides) under Ramburiella turcomana. Its description in RNAcentral is "16S ribosomal RNA". The stretch from base 874 to 1236 matches the Rfam family "Archaeal large subunit ribosomal RNA", at positions 2150 to 2716 of the family's 2987-position model. The record is from RNAcentral. Lineage: Eukaryota; Metazoa; Arthropoda; Insecta; Orthoptera; Acrididae.